CCUACGGGAGGCAGCAGUGGGGGAUAUUGCACAAUGGAGGGAACCCUGAUGCAGCGACGCCGCGUGGGUGAAGGAGCGUUUCGGCGCGUAAAGCCCUAUCGGCAGGGAAGAAGGAGGACGGUACCUGACUAAGAAGCCCCGGCGAACUACGUGCCAGCAGCCGCGGUAAUACGUAGGGGGCAAGCGUUAUCCGGAUUUACUGGGUGUAAAGGGGGCGCAGGCGGCAGUGCAAGUCAGGAGGGAAAGCCCGGGGCCCAACCCCGGGACUGCUCUUGGAACUGCGCGGCUGGAGUGCAGGAGGGGCAGGCGGAAUUCAUGGUGUAGCGGUGAAAUGCGUAGAUAUCAGGAGGAACACCGGUGGCGAAGGCGGGCGGCUGGACUGCGACUGACGUUGAGGCCCGAAAGUGUGGGGAGCAAACAGGAUUAGAUACCCCUGUAGUC
This 441-nucleotide ribosomal RNA is filed under the name uncultured bacterium. RNAcentral's name for it is "partial 16S ribosomal RNA". It matches the Rfam family "Bacterial small subunit ribosomal RNA", at positions 338 to 795 of the family's 1533-position model. The record is from RNAcentral.